This 75-nucleotide transfer RNA is filed under the name Candidatus Saccharimonadota bacterium. RNAcentral's name for it is "tRNA-Asn". It matches the Rfam family "tRNA". From Rfam's summary of the family: Transfer RNA (tRNA) molecules are approximately 80 nucleotides in length. Their secondary structure includes four short double-helical elements and three loops (D, anti-codon, and T loops). RNAcentral also lists the same sequence under 1 other name. The record is from RNAcentral. Lineage: Bacteria; Candidatus Saccharimonadota.
UCCGGCGUAGCUCAGCGGUAGAGCGGAUGGCUGUUAACCAUUAGGUCACUGGUUCGAAUCCAGUCGCCGGAGCCA